RNAcentral lists this transfer RNA (71 nucleotides) under Marmota monax (woodchuck). Its description in RNAcentral is "tRNA.Ala". Lineage: Eukaryota; Metazoa; Chordata; Mammalia; Rodentia; Sciuridae. The record is from RNAcentral.
GGGGUUGUGAUUCAGUGGUAGAGUGUUCACCUAGCAUGUGUGAGGUCCUGGGUUUGAUCCUCAGCACCACA